AGACAUCUAGGAUGUGUGUGAGAGUCGCGGUGGCAGGGUUGGGUUGGGAAGCCAUAGUGCAGGGCCACCAGGGGCAGUAUUGAGAAACACUUUAAAACACCUACAAACAUUUGACAGUGAGGGACAGCUUUUACACAACUGGCAUGGCUACAAUUCUCAGAAAUAUUAAUGUUGUCCAUUAUUCAGUAGCUUCCCGGAGAGAGAUCUUCAUGUGUUUUGCCCACAACAAAACUUUGUAAGUUAUUUAAUAAAAUAUUGUUAAAACAACAUGCACAAGUGUUUUGUAGAAUAAUUUAUCAUUUAAAUUAUAUUAAAUUAAAUGUCAAAUUCCACAUGUAAUUUCAGGUGUUGUAUGUUGGUCUGGAGCAGGUGGAACCUUCAUAAAGAUGAUUAAGAGUAGGAAUGCUCUUGAAAGCUUUUGGAAACAACUAGAACCACCUCCAGACUGCAUACAACACUUUAAGGCAAACACAUCUCUCUUCGUUAAAUCUCUUUCUGGCGGUUCGAAUGCCAGAGCGGACUCAGUGGAACAGUACACAAGCAGUGCGAGCAACUGAAAUUGUUAACUGCAACUGACCCACAAAGACUGCCUUGCUAAAGACAACGCAGGGCCGUCCUUAGGGUGGUGCCACACUGGGCCCCAAGGUUUAGGGAAUGGACCGAUUGGGCAGUUUGCCCCCAACCCCAACCUGGCCUCACACUGGGUCCACGCUAGCUUGGGAUGACACUGGCACGACG
Cyprinus carpio (common carp) is the source of this 738-nucleotide long non-coding RNA. RefSeq lists it as uncharacterized. NCBI's taxonomy places the organism in Eukaryota, Metazoa, Chordata, Actinopteri, Cypriniformes, Cyprinidae. The record is from RefSeq and is a predicted model, not a curated record. The transcript is spliced from 2 exons.